UACAGAGGGGGCUAGCGUUGUUCGGAAUUACUGGGCGUAAAGGGCUCGUAGGCGGCCAACUAAGUCAGACGUGAAAUCCCUCGGCUUAACCGGGGAACUGCAUCUGAUACUGGAUGGCUUGAGAUUGGGAGAGGGAUGCGGAAUUCCAGGUGUAGCGGUGAAAUGCGUAGAUAUCUGGAGGAACACCGGUGGCGAAGGCGGCAUCCUGGACCAACACUGACGCUGAGGAGCGAAAGCCAGGGGAGCAAACGGG
This 253-nucleotide ribosomal RNA is filed under the name uncultured bacterium. Its description in RNAcentral is "partial 16S ribosomal RNA". It matches the Rfam family "Bacterial small subunit ribosomal RNA", at positions 524 to 776 of the family's 1533-position model. The record is from RNAcentral.